UACGAAGGGGGCGAGCGUUAUUCGGAUUUAUUGGGCGUAAAGGGCGCGUAGGCGGCUGGGCAAGUCCGGUGUGAAAUCGCUGCCGCUCAACGGAGCGAGGCCGCUGGAAACUGCCCGACUUGAGUCCAGGAGAGGCGAGCGGAAUGCCUGGUGUAGCGGUGGAAUGCUUAGAGAUCAGGCGGAACACCAGAGGCGAAGGCGGCUCGCUGGCCUGCGACUGACGCUGAGGCGCGAAAGCGUGGGGAGCAAACGGG
Molecule: ribosomal RNA, 254 nt
Filed under: uncultured bacterium
Lineage: Bacteria
Description: partial 16S ribosomal RNA
Rfam family: Bacterial small subunit ribosomal RNA
Source: RNAcentral